Molecule: ribosomal RNA, 449 nt
Filed under: uncultured bacterium
Lineage: Bacteria
Description: partial 16S ribosomal RNA
Rfam family: Bacterial small subunit ribosomal RNA
Source: RNAcentral
AACGAACGCUGGCGGCAGGCUUAACACAUGCAAGUCGAACGAGAUCUUCGGAUCUAGUGGCAGACGGGUGAGGAACACGUGGGAACAUUCCUUCCAGUUCGGAAUAACGUUGGGAAACUAACGCUAAUACCGGAUACGUCCUUCGGGAGAAAGAUUUAUCGCUGAAAGAUUGGCCCGCGUCUGAUUAGCUAGUUGGUGAGGUAACGGCUCACCAAGGCUACGAUCAGUAGCUGAUCUGAGAGGAUGAUCAGCCACAUUGGGACUGAGACACGGCCCAAACUCCUACGGGAGGCAGCAGUGGGGAAUAUUGGACAAUGGGCGCAAGCCUGAUCCAGCCAUGCCGCGUGAGUGAUGAAGGCCUUCGGGUUGUAAAGCUCUUUUGUCCGGGAAGAUAAUGACUGUACCGGAAGAAUAAGCCCCGGCAAACUUCGUGCCAGCAGCCGCCGUAA